RNAcentral lists this ribosomal RNA (520 nucleotides) under uncultured Entrophospora. RNAcentral describes it as "SSU rRNA". It matches the Rfam family "Eukaryotic small subunit ribosomal RNA", at positions 569 to 1081 of the family's 1831-position model. The record is from RNAcentral. Lineage: Eukaryota; Fungi; Glomeromycota; Glomeromycetes; Entrophosporales; Entrophosporaceae.
AGCAGCCGCGGUAAUUCCAGCUCCAAUAGCGUAUAUUAAAGUUGUUGCAGUUAAAAAGCUCGUAGUUGAAUUUCGGGAUUGACGUGAUGGUCAUGCCUUAAGGGGUAUGAACUGUUACAGUUGGUUUCUCACCUUCUGGAGAAACUUGAUGUCCUUUAUUGGGUGUCUUGCGGAUCCAGGACCUUUACCUUGAAAAAAUUAGAGUGUUUAAAGCAGGCAUUUUUGCUCGAAUACAUUAGCAUGGAAUAAUAGAAUAGGACGGCAUGGUUCUAUUUUGUUGGUUUCUAGGAUCACCGUAAUGAUUAAUAGGGAUAGUUGGGGGCAUUAGUAUUCAAUUGUCAGAGGUGAAAUUCUUGGAUUUAUUGAAGACUAACUACUGCGAAAGCAUUUGCCAAGGAUGUUUCCAUUAAUCAAGAACGAAAGUUAGGGGAUCGAAGACGAUCAGAUACCGUCGUAGUCUUAACCAUAAACUAUGCCGACUAGGAAUCAGACGUAUGUUAAUUUUUUAAUGUACUCGUUU